GGCGAGAUGGCCGAGCGGUCUAAGGCGCCAGACUAAGGUAGUUACUAAACCUACGUAAUCUGGUCCUCACGGGCGUGGGUUCGAAUCCCACUCUCGUCA
This is a transfer RNA of Dichomitus squalens LYAD-421 SS1, 99 nucleotides long. It matches the Rfam family "tRNA". From Rfam's summary of the family: Transfer RNA (tRNA) molecules are approximately 80 nucleotides in length. Their secondary structure includes four short double-helical elements and three loops (D, anti-codon, and T loops). NCBI's taxonomy places the organism in Eukaryota, Fungi, Basidiomycota, Agaricomycetes, Polyporales, Polyporaceae. The record is from Rfam.